CUUUCCCCAAUCUGUGAAGUAGCUAAUAAUAUAGAACAGAAUGCUCAAGAGUGGAAAGUUGGGGACAAAUGUUCUGCCAUUUGGUCAGAAGACGGUUG
This 98-nucleotide small RNA is filed under the name Homo sapiens (human). The record is from RNAcentral. Lineage: Eukaryota; Metazoa; Chordata; Mammalia; Primates; Hominidae.